This 406-nucleotide ribosomal RNA is filed under the name uncultured bacterium. RNAcentral's name for it is "partial 16S ribosomal RNA". It matches the Rfam family "Bacterial small subunit ribosomal RNA", at positions 30 to 526 of the family's 1533-position model. The record is from RNAcentral.
AUUGAACGCUGGCGGCAGGCUUAACACAUGCAAGUCGAGCGAGUGGCGGACGGGUGAGUAAUGUCUGGGAAACUGCCUGAUGGAGGGGGAUAACUACUGGAAACGGUAGCUAAUACCGCAUACCAUCGGAUGUGCCCAGCUGGGAUUAGCUAGUAGGUGGGGUAAGGGCUCACCUAGGCGACGAUCCCUAGCUGGUCUGAGAGGAUGACCAGCAACACUGGAACUGAGACACGGUCCAGACUCCGACGGGAGGCAGCAGGGGGGAAUAUUGCACAAUGGGCGCAAGCCUGAUGCAGCCAUGCCGCGUGUGUGAAGAAGGCCUUCGGGUUGUAAAGCACUUUCAGCGAGGAGGCGUUACUCGCAGAAGAAGCACCGGCUAACUCCGUGCCAGCAGCCGCGGUAAUUC